CAGCAGCCACGGUAAUACGGAGGGUGCAAGCGUUAAUCGGAAUUACUGGGCGUAAAGCGCACGCAGGCGGUCUGACAAGUCAGAUGUGAAAUCCCCGGGCUUAACCUGGGAACUGCAUUUGAAACUGUCAGGCUGGAGUCUUGUAGAGGGGGGUGGAAUUCCAGGUGUAGCGGUGAAAUGCGUAGAGAUCUGGAGGAAUACCGGUGGCGAAGGCGGCCCCCUGGACAAAGACUGACGCUCAGGUGCGAAAGCGUGGGGAGCAAACAGGAUUAGAGACCCGCGUAGUCCCUGUCUCUUAUAC
Molecule: ribosomal RNA, 301 nt
Filed under: uncultured bacterium
Lineage: Bacteria
Description: partial 16S ribosomal RNA
Rfam family: Bacterial small subunit ribosomal RNA
Source: RNAcentral